Gasterosteus aculeatus aculeatus (three-spined stickleback) is the source of this 8118-nucleotide long non-coding RNA. The record is from Ensembl. Lineage: Eukaryota; Metazoa; Chordata; Actinopteri; Perciformes; Gasterosteidae.
UAUAUAUAUAUAUAUAUGAAUGGAGCAAAGAUACUAAGAUAUAUAUAUACUCCAUUCAUGCUGCCUACAUACUGUGGUGGUGCACGCGCUCAACUCCUACUAACCUACUCCGAGUUGAUUGAACCGAACUCGAAACAGCUGUUCUGAAACCCAAAACACAGUUUCACAUUCCGUAAAUCAACUCAGAGUUUAGGGUUUGACUGAGAGUUUGUUAAACCUCCUACUUGAAACAGAGGUAUUAGAAAGGAGUCUAUCCCUGAACUCCGAGUUGAUUUACGGAAUGGGAAACUGAGUUUUAACACUUUUUAUUUAGGCAAAUUUUAAAUUCCCUUUUUAUUAUGAACAGAACAAAUAUUCAAAUACACCAUAUAGUAGCAGCAAUAAGGAUUUUUUUUGUAUGGGCAUGCAAUUUUUGGAGCAGAGGCCAUAAAACUACCACACCGUCCAAUUAUUCUAUUCUUAGGCUUCAGAUUUGUUUUCCCUGGAAUAUGUAACUUUAGCCAUUACAUUUAAAUUAAAUAUUCAUUUAAAUGAUUGAUUCAAGGAAAAGGUGAGAGGGAGGCGACCUUUUCUCAUGAGCAACUCAUGAUACUGCCGUUGGCUAGCUACAGCAAGCUAGCUAAAUUUGCAGAGACUGACACAGGAAACAAAUUCCACUUUAAUCUUUAAAAAAAUGAUGCAGACACUAGAAUUUUGCAGUAAAGUGGAUGAACAAAGACAAUCUGACAGUGGGACUAGGAAUUCAUGGGAAGAUAUAUAAGCAGAGCUGACUGAUGUCAAAGUCAGGGGCAAGUGAUAAAUGAAAGCACAUGAGGAAACCAAGGAGGCAGGAAACACUAGGGCUUUGCACCUCCCCCCAAAACUGGUCACUUUCCAGUCACAGGACAGGGGAUAACCAGCAGCUGCCUUGCUGCAGGAGAAGACUCUAGCUACAGGGAGUAAAUGUACAACAUUUAGUUCCCGCUGUGUGUUUGUGAACUCAUGCAUAGGUGUGGCGUGGUGUGUGUGUAUGUACGCCUCUCGCGUCGCUGAAACCCUUCCUGGUGUGAAAGUGUGUGUGUGUUGCUGUAUAAGUGGUCACCAUUUCUCUAAUGGCCACUGAAAUAACAGGACUACAACCCUCAGCAUGGGGGCACACACACAAACACACACAUUAAAUAAGCUUUUAAAAAGUUUUUAAACUAAACUUGUGACUUUAAGCAUGAACUCUUAAUGAAGAGAACAUGGAUGCUGGUGUUGCAUUACUUCUGCUCAUGUGGUUGCAGGGAGUAAAGCUGCAUACACUUCAUGCCCCCUCUGCGGCAGUAAGGAGUCAGCUAACCAGAGGUGUCAACUGACGUGAAGGUGAAGGACUGACGUGUUGUGUGAGCGAGGUUACACAUUAAGAGUUUGUCCUUAAUGGAAUUUCUUACAUUACUUUUACUUUUAUACUUUUAAGUAGUUUUGUCGACAGUGACACAACACAAACAACUUCCUCUUUCACGCUGACUUUGAGCACUAAAUAGAGGUUCCACAAAGUUGCACGUUUUAGUCAGAGUCCAUACGUUUCAGUAUUUCUCAUGCGUACCACUAGAGAAGUGUGUAUGUGUAAGUUUUGCCAAGAGGCAGGUGGUCUUCCUGUAGCAGCCGAAAGGGGCGUGGUGCACGACUGAAGCAGGACGACGUUUUGGUUCUGAGUAAUGGCCCUAGUAGCACCUCAUGUCAGGAAAACCAAGCCUCAAAUGUGGUCCUAACAUAAACCCUUUCCUACGGAUAGAAAGUAUACAAAACCUGUAAACCCUUUGGCAUGAUCUCAAAAUUAAUUAUACUAGUUUUUAAUGCCUCUUUAAUACCAUGUAGCUUCUCUUUUUAAUGGAGAUCAUUUAAACAAAAUGCGUAAAAAGUGACUUACAUUGCAUUUUGCCUCUCUACCCACGCGCCACCGUCGACCCCAUGAUCCAUGUAUAAUUCAUGUAGUACUAAUAUGUACUUCAGAAUAAUGUUUGUUAAAAAUAAGAACUAUUAAAAGCUGCAGUAUAAGCCUUUAUUUUGCAUUUUUCUUUCUCGCUCGGUUCCUCAGUUGCUAUUUAGUGGCAUGUUACCUGCCCUAAUAGUAUACACUAAAAGGGGCACUGCACCUACUAAAAGAACACUGUAUGUCUUAAUAAUACUUAAACAUAUGUAUUUUGUUUAGCAUCAGAAAAAAGACACCCUGAAGUAGAACAAAGAAUUCCGUAAAAACCUCAAUUUUGUUUCCUUGGUGGUUUUCAUGAAACCAAAGCUUGCACACAGAUAUUUUUCUCUCAAAGCAACGAAAUUAAACCCCUUAAUAAAAUAUUCCUCCAGAUCCCACAUGACAAACACGGGAAGUUUUAUUAUGUCAGUAAAUCAAUGUACGAAUCUUCAAGGAUCGACACACACACAGACACAUGCACACAAACAAACACCUUUAAACGCGUGAACAGGGGACGCGAUCAUCGGUGAGAGACUGGCCUCACCUUGAGACAAGCUCUUACACACCAGCUUUUAUUAGUAGGCUUUGGUGUUGUGUGUGUUUGUGUGUGUGUGUUAAAUGUGUUCAUCAGUUAAAAGGGUGUGUGUGUGCAGUGCUGUAGUGCUAAAAUUAGAGGUGGGUAAACUCUGAAUUUUGUGAUCAUACAGACCUCGACGCGAAGCAACGCAACACAAAGCGUCGCGACUCUGUAAGGCUGUCCUGGCUAUAUUGCAUUAUGUUAUCAGUAAAAGUCAUAUACAAUCAAUGACAAUGAAUACAUGUGUUAGUAGUUUAUUAAAUUUAAAAAAACAGUAAAGAAAAGUAUGUCAACACAACACAACAACCCAAUUGCAGUUUAAGAACUAUCUCCUUUUUACAGUAGUGCCCAGAGGGCCUCCUUGUCCUCCACGUCAGGUCCUGCCUUGCACAGAGGAGCCAUGAACGCCAGAACACGCGUUCUGGGGUUCAUGGCUCCUCUGUGCUUCUCCUCUCUCUAUUGGACCUGGUGUUUCUCCUCUCCCUGUGCUCUCUGCAUCAUUGCCUGUCCUCUCACUGCUUGAAAAAAUAUGAUGAAUUUAAGAGUUAACCUGUUAAGCAGCCUGUCAAUCACACUGACAACAUAAGGAACACUCAUGUACUACCUACGUCAUCAUAAAUAGCCCAUACAGCAUGUUUUUUUUCACAUUGAGAACUGACUUGUUUUCUAAUCUACGCGUCACCAGGCGUUUUUCUUGUCCUUUUACCGUGCAUGACCAGCGAACACAGAGCGCGCGACUACUACCCCUAACCCCCUACCCCCCCGCAACGACUACUACCCACCCCCGUCGGUCGUUCCGCCCGCAACGACUACUACACAACCCCCCCGUCGGACCUUCUCGACCGGCCCGCGAAAUAUUGUCUGACAUGAAACCGGUCCGUGAGGUAAGAAAGGUUGGGGACCACUGGGCUGAUCCACAGCGUGUAUGUGUUUACACACCUCCUGGAUCCUGAUUGGUGUCGCUGCUGCAGCCGCAAGGCGCUGAUUGGAUGCUCACAGACCGUAAUACAGCGCAGAUGAACAUGAUUCAGACUACGGCGUUUAUAUGUUCAACAAUAGGAAACGUUGUUUUAGCUGUUUUAAAAUUACACCAAGUUUAUUUCGGAUUAUUCCAACGGAAUUAUACAAGGCGCAGGGAACUUUGAGCUGCGUAAACGCCACUUGCAGGUGCGUAAACGCUAUUUAUAGGUGCGUAAACGCUAUUUAUAGGUGCGUAAACGCUAUUUCCAAAAUUCAAGAGGUGCGUAAACGGCGUUUACGUGCGUUUACCCUCCACUACAGCCCUGCGUGUGUGAUGUUGUGCCUUUGUUUAAUGUCAUUCUGCGUGCUGUAGAAUGAUGAAAAGGCACCCAGCCCUUUCUCAUCUCCAGGCUUUCCCAAUUAAUUAAAAAUGCUUUGCAUUGGAGAAUGGAUUACUGAAAAGGGUAAAAAUAUACACCACACAAACACACACAAUUAGGCACUUUAUUUACUUGCUUCACAAUUGCAGGCACUUUUCCAUUCCUGAAAUACAUUGUGUGUGUUCUUGGCAUCGGUGUAACGGCAUGCCUGGUUAGUAGCUAGUGUGAAAUGAAAUCAUUGACAUUGAUGAUUAGUUUUUUUUCAGUCGCUAACAAACGGUUGUCCAACCAGUUGUCACAUUUUCAAAACUCUUAGCACAGCAUUGGUCUUUUGUGGCCAUACCAUUCACACAUUUCAUGUCGUUUUCACACAAUAUUCAGUCAGUGAACACAUUUCCACAAUGCUUACAUUUUCUUAACAGACAAGCUAUACCUCCCAACAAAAUUAUGGAUUGUUUUUGUAAUAUUUACAACACACGCCAUCCCACAACAGCAAAAUCAAUAUUCCAAACCUUGGAUACAGUAUAAAAACCUCUGCUUUUGCAAUGAUAUCAGUUCAAAGACAAUAUCUCGAGCUGAUAACAAACAAUUGAAUAAUUGGCACACAGCUGAAAGGAAAAAAAACGGAUUAGCUUUUUACUGGAAUGCUUUUGAAUGUGAACAUUACUGUACAUGUGGACAUACAGUUCCCGAAAAAGAAAUUUAGUGCAAAAACAGUGGAUGGCAUGUUUUGCAUGCAAAUACCUGUAAAACUGAAGCAUAAAGUCUAUGCAGUCUAUGCCAGUUUUUCAAAACCUGGUGUAGGGGAGAGCGAGGCAUGUUGUCACACUUUUCACACUGUCUAACAUUUACUGAGAACCAUACAACACAAUGGUAUAAAAGUAAUACCAAAUGAAAGAAGGAAGUCUUGGGCACAUAUGUUGUAUACGUAACAUUUUCAUAUCUUAUCUGAUUAAAGAGUUGUAUACUGUAGAAUAGAGAGACUGCACUUGAGGCAAGCUUUCUGACCUCACUUGGCGACAGACCAAAAUAAAUGUCAGCUGACCUAAUAAUAUACUCAGCAAGCUGCUUUUCCAAAUCAGGUGAAAAAAUCUUCCUUGGCUUUGUAUAACCAAUCAUUGUAUGGCUGUCCGACUUUCAAUUUCUUCUCUGGUAAUCUUUUGACAAUACCGAGUCAGAGUACGGUAAUUUAUGUCAAAAUCCUUCGCUGUACUUCUGAUUGAUUUGUUCUGCAACUUUACCUGCCUGACUGCCUUUAACAUUAUGUCAGGUGGUGUACUGCCAUGCUCUGUCGUUGAUAAUUUUGAACCAUCUUCCUUCCUUCUUUCCUUCCUUAAUUCCUGCCUUUACUCCCUUAAUUCCUGCGUUUCCUUCUUUCCUUAAUUCCUGCCUUUCCUUACAUCCUUCCUUCAAAAAUAUUAUAGCAAUUACAAAUAAAUUAGCCUAAUAUCACAUUUUCUUGAGAAUGUUCAAUGUGUUUAUUUGUACAGGGGCAAGUUGUCACACGAGACAACUUGCCCCAAACUGACAUGUGUGUUAAUGUUGGCUACAUCUCAAGGUUAGCUUAACAUACCACUUUAGCUAAAGGAUCAAAAGACUCAUUACUGUCUCCUCUAUUUUGUGCAAAAUAAUUAUUUUUAACAUUCAUAUCUAACAAUGUUGUAUUGCAUAAAAUGUAAACACACAUUUUUUACUUUUAAGCAGAAAAAUACGAAAAUUGUGCUAACCUCAGAUUAGACUGACCGUGACCACAUGUGAACAAGAAGUUGACUAUAGAAGAAGAAGUCACACAAAGUGGCUAUUUGAUUUUUGAGAUAGUGCCUCUAGUGUUGGAGUUAUGAAGAGUGCGACAACUUACCCGUGAGACGACAUGCCCCGCUCUCCCCUACUUUCAUUGACUACAUGUACCUUAUGAAGUGAAAACAAGUGUUAUUCUUUGUCGCUAGGACACAUUUCUCAAUACUUAGAUCACUUUUUCAAAACUCUUCACACAGUGAGCCCAACAGAAGUAUAUGUGGGCUAAACUGAGGAUCAAUUAUCAUUGCUUUGGCACAAAAUGUAUUCAAUGACUACAUCUUUCAAAUUACAUAUUUUCUCAGACACAAAAACCUCCAAAACUCUGUACCUACAGGCCAAUUUGCACAUGCUUACAUACUGUUUUCAAAACUGUUAAACUUAUGUUCAAAACAAUAACAUAAUACAAAACUGAAUAAGACAGCAAUUUGCUACAAUUCUACAGUAAUAUUUUAAUGAAAUAUAUUUCAAAUCUUAAAAUGAAAUGCUAUAAAAAAACAAUUGGACCAACCACAGCUGAUUCUCAUUGUAGAUGAACAUCUACACAGGCGUUACUCUUUCAAUUUCAAAACAAAAGGAGACAACUACUGAAUAGUUUUGUAUUGGGAUCUAAACAUGGACCCAGCCAGAGAUGGAGAAGUGGCGAAGAAUACGUAUGCGUGGUGGAAGAAGAAUAAGAGGAAGAUCAAGAGCUGUAGGCUCAGAUGAGAUUAGAGCUACUGUAAUUGAUCAUGUAGUAAAUCAUGGUCUCUCAAUGAGAGAGGCUGGUCUGAGAGUGCAGCCAAAUCUGCACCGCUCAACAGUGGCAUCUAUUGUUAAGGCUGGCGCAUGCUUCUGCGUCGUUGCGUCGACGCACUCGUUUCAAUUUAUGGUUCUAAAAGUCUUGCGUGUGUUGCAGAGCAAUUCACCGCCAAAACAACAGGCGGAGUAACGUGUUUUUGUUGAAGAUGACCUAGAGAGUCACGUCUAUUUAUUUAUUUGUUUAUUCAUUUAUCAUAGAAUUUAUUGCCCCGUGCAUCGGCACUGUUGCUUUUCAUCGCGUACACAUUUGUCCCGUAUUUUCCCCCACAACUUUGUUCACCUCUCGGCCGGCAAACCAGCGUUUGCGGCGAUCUCCCUCUGUGAAUACAACCCGCCAAUGACAGGUUGUAUAAGUGGUCAUAUUUACGCAUUUCUUCCGACAAAAGUUCUUAAAUCUGAUCCGUUCUCUCGUAAACAUUCUUCGUUUUAAUAAUGGCGGUAUCGGGCUAUGAAAGCGGAAAUGUGAGACUCCGUAAAGGAUGUAGUUAGCAGACCAAUGGCAGCCUUGUGCGCUGCGGGAGGCUUGUGUCGCUUGCGUCGAAAGCGACGCAAGCCUAGAAAAAUGUCUCGACACACGCAAGGAUGCAAGGAGGUGUGAAAAGGCACGCAAGGGACACGCAAGGGGCUCUUGCGUCUGCGUUUCCUUGCGUCGCUCUGAAAACGCAGAAGCAUAAACUAGGCUUGAGGCCUACCAUAUCUUGCUCACGAAGGGGACAUGCAAUGGGUGGAACAAUCACACCAGAAGUAGUUCAGUAGUUCAGUAGUGCAUCCAGCUCAUUGGCAGGGUUGGAAUCAUUAUCUGCAUUAUCAAUUACCUAGAUUGUUUUUUCAAGCAGACUUUAAACAGACAACCUACUAAAAGAGAUUUUCUAGUUUUUUUCUCUAGAUAAGCAUAUCCCAUGUAGUUAUAUGCUGAGCACAUAUUGCAACAGUUUUAAGCAUCACCAUCCACCAUGAGGGGUUUAUUGACAGUGUUUAAAAUGUGUUUUAUGCAUAAUGCUUGUGUCUAAAUCAAGGAAAUAGUGUGAGCUUUGCUAUUUUAUGAAAUGUGAACACUGGCCGUAAUUAUAACAGUCCACGUUAGAUUGAGAAAAAAAAGUAUAAUCGCUACCUCUGCCAGGUCAGGAUCAUCAAUAGGAUUCUGGAGGAGUCCGAUUGUCCACGGCUGUUGAGGUGACUGGUUAUGCUCUGUCCUUAAAGGAUGAUUAUCCCAACCCACCCUGAAGAAAACUAGAUCCCUUUGUAAACGUGGGAGGAAUACAUGCUGUGCACACAACAGGUGGAUGCUGUCAGAAGGAUCUAGAACACCUUCAUCUUUAAAGCUGUGACGAGUCUCGUAGUGCACGUUUGUAACAGUCAUCCAAACAUCUCGCCAGCGAUGCUCUAUUCUGGUAAAAGAGAACAUCACAUUACCCUCAAGAAUGUACAGUAAACUAGUACUAGUACUUGAUAGAGUCUUUCACAUAGUUAAUUCCAUUGAUCAUAAAACAAUAUAUUUACCUUUGAUGGUGCACACUCUUUCCCGACAUGAAACUACCCCUUCCACAGCCUCUGAUAGUGAACAUGCAUCGUGCUAUGGCAACAUUUUCCACUCUUUGGUCACCUCUUACCCAAAAGAGAAUAUAUUACAUACUUAAAGAAAAUUAAAGUAUUAUAUUAAAAAUUAAUAAUAU